UCCCAGAAUACGAAAGGCAGCGUGCCUC
This 28-nucleotide small RNA is filed under the name Bombyx mori (domestic silkworm). RNAcentral's name for it is "ovarian small RNA-27152". The record is from RNAcentral. Lineage: Eukaryota; Metazoa; Arthropoda; Insecta; Lepidoptera; Bombycidae.